GAGUAUGAUUUUGGUAUUUUGCAAAAAUACUUUAGGUGAUUAUUUGGUCAUCCAUGCUUU
This 60-nucleotide transfer RNA is filed under the name Schistosoma bovis. RNAcentral describes it as "tRNA-Cys". RNAcentral also lists the same sequence under 1 other name. The record is from RNAcentral. Lineage: Eukaryota; Metazoa; Platyhelminthes; Trematoda; Strigeidida; Schistosomatidae.